UGUCUAUUGAAAUGUCUUCUA
RNAcentral lists this non-coding RNA (21 nucleotides) under Caenorhabditis elegans. Lineage: Eukaryota; Metazoa; Nematoda; Chromadorea; Rhabditida; Rhabditidae. The record is from RNAcentral.